Molecule: transfer RNA, 73 nt
Filed under: Acidobacteriota bacterium
Lineage: Bacteria; Pseudomonadati; Acidobacteriota
Description: Acidobacteria bacterium tRNA-Phe
Rfam family: tRNA
About the family: Transfer RNA (tRNA) molecules are approximately 80 nucleotides in length.
Source: RNAcentral
GCCGGGGUAGCUCAGUCGGUAGAGCAGUGGACUGAAAAUCCGCGUGUCGGCGGUUCAAAUCCGUCCCCCGGCA